AGUUUACGCCCACUCUCAGGUGCUGGCGGUAGAUAAAGCCGCUAGUGAAACGGGAAGUUGGUGAACGCCUCGCGUGAUUCCAACGCUGCCCCCGCAACGGUGAUCGAGAUAAGAACGGCCAAUACGCCACUGUGCUCACGCACGGGAAGGUGGUCGUUCGGAAAAGAGUGGCUCUGUUUGCUAGAGACAUCUUUCGCUCGUCAGCCCGGAGACCGGCCCGAGAGUAAUGGUUCUA
This 235-nucleotide non-coding RNA is filed under the name Halomonas sp. Lineage: Bacteria; Pseudomonadati; Pseudomonadota; Gammaproteobacteria; Oceanospirillales; Halomonadaceae. The record is from RNAcentral.